This 252-nucleotide ribosomal RNA is filed under the name uncultured bacterium. RNAcentral describes it as "partial 16S ribosomal RNA". It matches the Rfam family "Bacterial small subunit ribosomal RNA", at positions 524 to 776 of the family's 1533-position model. The record is from RNAcentral.
UACGUAGGCAGCGAGCGUUGUUCGGAAUUACUGGGCGUAAAGAGUGUGUAGGCGGUGCUCUAGGUUCGGUGUGAAAUCUCCUGGCUUAACUGGGAGGGUGCGCCGGAAACUGGAGUGCUUGAGCGUGGGAGAGGAAAGCGGAAUUCCUGGUGUAGCGGUGAAAUGCGUAGAGAUCAGGAGGAACACCCGUGGCGAAGGCGGCUCCUGGUCCGUUUCUGACGCUGAGACGCGAAAGCGCGGGGAGCGAACGGG